This 363-nucleotide ribosomal RNA is filed under the name uncultured organism. RNAcentral's name for it is "bacterial SSU rRNA". It matches the Rfam family "Bacterial small subunit ribosomal RNA", at positions 127 to 518 of the family's 1533-position model. The record is from RNAcentral.
UACCUUUUGGUUGAGGGAUACCAACUGGAAACGGUUGCUAAUACCUCGUAUGCUGAGAAGUAAAAGAUGGAAACAUCGCCAGGAGAGGGGCUUGCGUCUGAUUAGUUAGUUGGUAGGGUAAAGGCUUACCAAGACUAUGAUCAGUAGCUGGUUUGAGAGGACGAUCAGCCACACUGGGACUGAGACACGGCCCAGAUCCCUACGGGGAGCAGCAGUGAGGAAUCUUCCGCAAUGGGCGAAAGCCUGACGGAGCACUAUCGCGUGGAGGAAGACGGCUCGUGAGUUGUAAACUCCUUUUGUCAAAGAAGAAAGUUGACGGUAUUUGACGAAUAAGCAUCGGCUAAACUCUGUGCCAGCAGCCGC